This 478-nucleotide ribosomal RNA is filed under the name uncultured bacterium. Its description in RNAcentral is "partial 16S ribosomal RNA". It matches the Rfam family "Bacterial small subunit ribosomal RNA", at positions 28 to 523 of the family's 1533-position model. The record is from RNAcentral.
GACGAACGCUGGCGGUGUGCUUAACACAUGCAAGUCGAACGGUAAGGCCCUUCGGGGUACACGAGUGGCGAACGGGUGAGUAACACGUGGGUGAUCUGCCCUGCACUUCGGGAUAAGCCUGGGAAACUGGGUCUAAUACCGGAUAGGACCACUGCCUGCAUGGGUGGUGGUGGAAAGCUUUUGCGGUGUGGGAUGGGCCCGCGGCCUAUCAGCUUGUUGGUGGGGUGAUGGCCUACCAAGGCGACGACGGGUAGCCGGCCUGAGAGGGUGACCGGCCACACUGGGACUGGGAUACGGCCCAGACUCCUACGGGGGGCAGCAGUGGGGAAUAUUGCACAAUGGGCGCAAGCCUGAUGCAGCGACGCCGCGUGAGGGAUGACGGCCUUCGGGUUGUAAACCUCUUUCAGCACCGACGAAGCGCAAGUGACGGUAGGUGCAGAAGAAGGACCGGCCAACUACGUGCCAGCCGCCGCCGUAA